AAAAGAAAAGAAAAGAAAAGAAAAGAUCAAGCGAUGAAAGAAAGAGGAGAAGAGCAAUGGUUCAGGAUUUGCUGAUUCAGCGUCUGCAGCCACUUUAUAGAACAUCAUUACUAUAAACCUGAGGGCAGCGUGCAAGGUGGACAGCGUGGAAUCAGGACCCGAGGCAAGAUCUCAGGCAACAGAAGCCAGCUGGCAUGUUUUGAGGACAUUCAGACAGCCCAGUGGAAAGGCCCAUAUGGUAGGAAACCAAAGCCCUCAUUCCAAUAGCCCCUGAAGAACUGAGGCCUGCCAACCACCACGUGAGUAACCUUGGAAGUGGAUUCCUCAGUCCCAGCUAAGCCUUCAGAUGAGAUCACAGCCACAAUCAACAUCUUCUCUACAUCAUUUUAGAGACCCUGAGCCAGAAACACCCAGCUUGGCUACUUCCAGGUUCCUGACCCUCAGAAACUGUGAGCUAAUAAAUGUUUGUUGUUUUAAGCUGCUAAGUUUUGUGGUAAUUUGACACGUAGCAAUAGAUGACUAAUGCAC
Molecule: long non-coding RNA, 528 nt
Organism: Orcinus orca (killer whale)
Lineage: Eukaryota; Metazoa; Chordata; Mammalia; Artiodactyla; Delphinidae
Exons: 4
Source: RefSeq, a predicted model, not a curated record